RNAcentral lists this transfer RNA (67 nucleotides) under Dipodomys ordii (Ord's kangaroo rat). It matches the Rfam family "tRNA". From Rfam's summary of the family: Transfer RNA (tRNA) molecules are approximately 80 nucleotides in length. Their secondary structure includes four short double-helical elements and three loops (D, anti-codon, and T loops). Lineage: Eukaryota; Metazoa; Chordata; Mammalia; Rodentia; Heteromyidae. The record is from Rfam by way of RNAcentral.
GUAAUUAUAGUUUAAUAAAAACUUAGACUGUGAAUCUAAAAAUAAAGAGUUACAUCUUUUAAUUACC